GACGAACGCUGGCGGCGUGCUUAACACAUGCAAGUCGAACGGAAAGGCCCUGCUUGCAGGGUAUUCGAGUGGCGAACGGGUGAGUAACACGUGGGUGAUCUGCCCUGCACUUCGGGAUAAGCCUGGGAAACUGGGUCUAAUACCGGAUAGGAGCCAUUUUUAGUGUGAUGGUUGGAAAGUUUUUUCGGUGUAGGAUGAGCUCGCGGCCUAUCAGCUUGUUGGUGUGGUAAUGGCCUACCAAGGCGGCGACGGGUAGCCGGCCUGAGAGGGUGGACGGCCACAUUGGGACUGAGAUACGGCCCAGACUCCUACGGGAGGCAGCAGUGGGGAAUAUUGCACAAUGGGCGCAAGCCUGAUGCAGCGACGCCGCGUGGGGGAUGACGGCCUUCGGGUUGUAAACUCCUUUCGCUAGGGACGAAGCUUUUUGUGACGGUACCUAGAUAAGAAGCACCGGCUAACUACGUG
Molecule: ribosomal RNA, 465 nt
Filed under: uncultured bacterium
Lineage: Bacteria
Description: partial 16S ribosomal RNA
Rfam family: Bacterial small subunit ribosomal RNA
Source: RNAcentral